This 37-nucleotide ribosomal RNA is filed under the name Infundibulomyces cupulata. RNAcentral's name for it is "partial 28S ribosomal RNA". The record is from RNAcentral. Lineage: Eukaryota; Fungi; Ascomycota; Sordariomycetes; Chaetosphaeriales; Chaetosphaeriaceae.
GACCUCGGAUCAGGUAGGAAUACCCGCUGAACUUAAG